Small nuclear RNA from Anolis carolinensis (green anole), 195 nucleotides. Its record names the gene U2. It matches the Rfam family "U2 spliceosomal RNA". Rfam says of the family: U2 is a small nuclear RNA (snRNA) component of the spliceosome (involved in pre-mRNA splicing). Complementary binding between U2 snRNA (in an area lying towards the 5' end but 3' to hairpin I) and the branchpoint sequence (BPS) of the intron results the bulging out of an unpaired adenosine, on the BPS, which initiates a nucleophilic attack at the intronic 5' splice site, thus starting the first of two transesterification reactions that mediate splicing. The record is from Ensembl. NCBI's taxonomy places the organism in Eukaryota, Metazoa, Chordata, Lepidosauria, Squamata, Anolidae.
AUCGCUUCUCAGCCUUUUGGCUAAGAUCAAGUGUAGUAAUCAUGAUCUGGCCAAGAAUAAAUCCCCUGUGGAUACUAUGGGGUCUUCUCUAUAAAAGAGACAUUUUCUCACUGAGUUUUCUUCUUUCAAACUUGUCACACGGGGCUAAAAUUGGCAGCAUAUGCUGAUUUAGCCCCGGUCAUCCAUGGAACCACC